This 220-nucleotide unclassified non-coding RNA is filed under the name uncultured Actinomycetes bacterium. RNAcentral describes it as "uncultured actinobacterium contains 16S-23S intergenic spacer region". Lineage: Bacteria; Bacillati; Actinomycetota; Actinomycetes. The record is from RNAcentral.
UCCGAGUUGUCCCCGGCAGUCCUUUUAGAGUCCCCGGCAUUACCCGCUGGCAACUAAAAGCAGGGGUUGCGCUCGUUGCGGCACUUAAGCCAACACCUCACGGCACGAGCUGACGACAGCCAUGCAGCACCUGUGCUAGCCCCUUACGGACACGGGCUUUCACCCGCUUUAACUAGCAUGUCAAGCCUAGGUAAGGUGGGGAUGACGUGUCCUUGAUAGG